AGAUAAUAGAUACCCGGGUGGUCCUAGCCCUAAACGGUGCGCGUUUGCUGUGAGAGGAAUCGACCCCUUUCGUGGCGAAAGCUAAACGCGAUAAACGCGCCGCCUGGGGAGUACGGUCGCAAGAUUAAAACUCAAAGAAAUUGACGGGGGCCUGCACAAGCGGUGGAGUAUGUGGCUUAAAUUCGAUGCAACGCGAAGAACCUUACCUGGCCUUGACAUGCAUGUGGUAGAACCAUGAAAGUGGGACGACCCCGCAAGGGGAGCAUGCACAGGUGCUGCAUGGCUGUCGUCAGCUCGUGUCGUGAGAUGUUGGGUUAAGUCCCGCAACGAGCGCAACCCUUGUGUCCUGUUGCCAUCCGGUCGAGAGACUGGAGCACUCUGGACAGACUGCCUCGCUCAAACGGGGAGGAAGGUGGGGAUGACGUCAAGUCAGUAUGGCCCUUACGGCCAGGGCUGCACACGUACUACAAUGCCCGGCACAGAGGGAAGCAAGACCGCAAGGUGGAGCAAAUCCCAGAAAACCGGGCCCA
Molecule: ribosomal RNA, 530 nt
Filed under: uncultured bacterium
Lineage: Bacteria
Description: bacterial SSU rRNA
Rfam family: Bacterial small subunit ribosomal RNA
Source: RNAcentral